GUAGGUGGGGCUCUUAAGGCAAAAG
RNAcentral lists this non-coding RNA (25 nucleotides) under Cricetulus griseus (Chinese hamster). Lineage: Eukaryota; Metazoa; Chordata; Mammalia; Rodentia; Cricetidae. The record is from RNAcentral.